GACGAACGCUGGCGGCGUGCUUAACACAUGCAAGUCGAACGGAAAGGCCCUGCUUUUGUGCCGUGCUCGUGUGGCGAACACGUGAGUAACACGUGUGUAACCUGCCCUUUUCUUUGGGAGAACUCCUGGGAACUGGGGCGCAUACCGCGUAUGAGCUCCUUCUGCAUGUGGUUUGUGGGUGAGUUUCGGCGUUUGGUGAGGGACUGGAGGGUCAUCACCGUGUUGGUGGGGUAGUGGCUUACCACGUCUUUGACGGGUAGCCGGCCUGCGAAGGUGACCGGCCACAUUGGGACUGAGAUACGGCCCAGACUCCUACGGGAGGCAGCAGGGGGGAAUAGUGCACAAUGGGCGGAAGCCUGAUGCAGCAACGCCGGGUGCGGAAUGACGGCUUUCGGGUUGUAAACCGCUUUCGACUGUGACGAAGAGUAAGUGACGGUAACGGGUCAAGAAGCAACGGCUAACUACGUG
Molecule: ribosomal RNA, 468 nt
Filed under: uncultured bacterium
Lineage: Bacteria
Description: partial 16S ribosomal RNA
Rfam family: Bacterial small subunit ribosomal RNA
Source: RNAcentral